RNAcentral lists this long non-coding RNA (1982 nucleotides) under Exaiptasia diaphana. Its description in RNAcentral is "uncharacterized LOC114576212". The record is from RNAcentral. Lineage: Eukaryota; Metazoa; Cnidaria; Anthozoa; Actiniaria; Aiptasiidae.
AGGUGCAGGUGUGGUAGAAACAUUAUCAGCACGACGGAAACUGUGAGAUCUUAUAGUGGUAACAUUGGAACCAGCUUUUAUGCUUCUCUUGAUGGCCUCUUUGAUACUCUUGACUGCUUCUCGUUGUUCAGCUGCAGUUCUAAGAAGAAGAAAAAGUACAAAAAAUAAUGAAUGAAUGAAAUGAAUGGAUAAAUAAACAAGUGAAUGAAUGAAAGGGUCCAACGAGGCUGUAGCAAUGAGUUUUAGAAUGAUCUGCUAAUUUGAAAGGAAUAAAAUGAAAAAAAGAAUGAAGAAAAAUGAAUGAAAAGAUAUAAUAAAAUAAAUGCUUACUUGCUAGCAAACAGAUAGGCACAUUCCUGACGACCAAGUUCUGUAGUAUCACUAAUGUUAACUAAUUCCCAUGAAUGAAGAGUUUCUAUCAAAAACAAAUUACUUAUUAUAGCCUGAUGUAAAAUUACAAAUUAUGAAAAAUGAAUAAGAUAAGGUAAGGAGAUAAACAAGAUAAAAAAUGGCCUAACAUACCUCCUGUUGCCCAUCGAUGGUCCCUUAAUACUAACGAUGUCACUGGUAUUAAUGUUUUAAACUUAAUUUCUUCACUAGUCUUGAGAGAUGAGCUCUGUGAAGUACAAAUGGGACAAUUAGAAACAAAUGAAUGGAUGUAAAACUGGAUGGAGGAAGGGAGAGAGAAUUGGAAGUUCUGAUAAAUAAAGUGAAUGAAUGAACAAAUAAAGAAACAGAUGGCUGGGUGAUGCUGGAUACUUUAAUUUAAGGGUUCCACUUCUUGGCUCAUCUGGACAAUUUAACCAAGUUGCUUUCCCAUGAUGCAGUAGUCUGUCAAUAGUGACAUCAGAAACCUACACAUGAAAAAAAUGAGAAAAAUGUUCAUAAUGAAAUGAUGCAAGAGCUUCAAAUUUCAAAGCCAAUUGAAACCACUGUAAUUUGGGCUUCUGCAUGAACAAUAAUAAAUGCUCACUAGCAAAUUUCUAUUCUUAAUUGUCACAAUACCACAUUGAUAAGACAAUGACAAUAAUGCUUUACCUCCACCAUUCCAUACUCUCCUACAAUUUGGUUGAACAGUGGUGCAAACCGUUCUGUGAUUCGCUGCAUUUCAUUUAUGUGUGUUGCAACCUUUUCAACAGCCACCACAGCCUCUGAAGUACAAUUGAUACAAAUAUUUUAGUGGUAUAGAGCAAGGACAACCCAUAAAAAAAGUCAAUUAAUAUACAUAAUAUACAUCAACCAGUCAAGGUGAAAAUAAUUUUAAAAUGUUAUACAUGUACAACUCCCAAAGACAAUACAUGUGCUUACCUAAAAGAACUUCAUGUUCUUCUGAUUUCUUGUCAAGUGCUUUUAAUAUAGUUCUCAUCAGUAAGGGAUAGCGAAGGAUUCUCUACAGAAACCAGAUUAACAAUAGAUUUAGCUAGUCCUUUCAAUAUAAUUCUCUGUUUAUAAAAUGCUACAAAGUAUGAACAAAAAAUUUUAUCACAAAAGCCUGGUUUCUACUAAAGCACUUCUUGACUAACCUGUAUGGGUUUAAUCAAAUAAGAUUCAAGUGUCCCAGAAUGCUGAUUCUUUGGAUUUCUUGCAUUCAAAAAAUUUCUAAGAUCUUCGUUUUGUCCUUUUGAAUAAUUAACAAUCAAUGUAUUAGUUAUGAGUACUGUGCUCUAUCCUAUGUCUUAAAUAAAGACCAUAGUCGGUGGUACCUGUGCUAAGAAGCUCUACAAGACGGGAAUGACUGGAACAAAAUGCGCUGUAAAGUUUGAAGUGUUCAGUGUAGUUCAAAAAUGUCUCUCCUAUAGUAUAGAUUACAUUCUGUGUGGAGAAUCAAAGCAAAUAUCAAUGUUAGGCAAACUAAAGACUUGCAUGUAUCUUCCUUUUCAUCAUUUCUUUAUGAUUAUACAUAAAGAUGUAAAAGCAUGAGUUUUUAACCUUGUCAAAUUAAUCAUUAUAUGCAACCAUUAAAACAACUUGAUAUACCUGGA